This 1032-nucleotide long non-coding RNA is filed under the name Capsicum annuum. RNAcentral's name for it is "long non-coding RNA (CANN_LNC009098)". Lineage: Eukaryota; Viridiplantae; Streptophyta; Magnoliopsida; Solanales; Solanaceae. The record is from RNAcentral.
UCCUACGCCACAGAAUUUAGAUAUAUUUAUGCUCAUAUAAUCAUACAUAACCAAAAUAUAAUUAUACUGUUGAUAGAGUAAACCACGUAAAAGAUAAUUCCCAAAAUUUUGUUCUCCCACGAUUCCACCUCAAAGAAAAGUAUUCCCGCCAUUUCAAUUAGUUUUCUGGUUUUGACUUGGAAGUUUAACAAAUUAAAGAAGAUUUUUGGCUCUCGUGGUCUUAAACUUCUUAAGCUAUUCCACAUGGAAAAUUGAAAUUAAAGAAUUGCCAAAAAGGUAAAGAGGUCUUUUUGAAAGUUGAAGUUAAAGAGCUGCCAAAAAAGAAAAGAGGUCUUUUUGAAAGUUGAAAUUAAAGAACUGCCAAAAAAGAAAAGAGGCAUUUUUUGUGAACGGACUAAAAAGAAAAGCAAGACUAACAAAUUGAAAUGGAGCGAGUAAAAGAAAAGACACACAUUGACAAUUCAAGAGCUCAUAUUUAGUGAAUGAGUUGAUUAACAUUUAACACAAAAGAAUCAAUCUUUUCAUAAAGAUGGAUCUGCAAUAGAUUGGUGAUGCUUUUGAGAAAGAGACAUGGACUGACAAAUCAAGAGCUAAUAUUCAGUAAAAGAGUCCGUCAACACACACACGUGGAAAGUUGAAAUUAAAAGUUGUCAAAAAAGGUAAGAGCCAUUCUUUUUGAAACUAGACUAAAAAGGAAAGUAAGAUAAACAAAUUGAAACGGAAGAAGAAAAAAGAAACACAUGAAUUGACAAAUCAACAACAACAACAACAAACCCAGUGUAUUCCCACUUAGUGGGGUCUGGGGGGGGUAAGAUGUACGCAGUCCAUACCUCUACCUCUGAUGAAGUAGAAAGGCUGUUUCCGAAAGACCCCCGGCUCAAGUCACGAGAUAUCACACAAACACAUAGUACAGCACAGCAGCAGAUGACAUAACAUAGAUACGGCACCCAUAGGGAAUAUAAAACAGAGUAAAGCAGGAAUGCAGGAAUAUAAAGCAGAGGAAAGCACCCAGAUUCGUAAUAAACAUGGAAC